AUGGCAACCCUUCGAGUCAACGAUAUUCAUAAAAUUCUCCGCGAACGUAUUGAACAAUAUAAUAGGAAAGUAGGGAUUGAGAAUAUAGGUCGCGUAGUUCAAGUGGGGGAUGGGAUUGCUCGUAUUAUAGGUCUUGGUGAAAUAAUGUCAGGUGAAUUACUCGAAUUUGCAGAAGGUACUAGGGGUAUUGCUCUGAAUUUGGAAUCCAAAAAUGUUGGGAUUGUAUUAAUGGGCGAUGGGUUGAUGAUACAAGAGGGAAGUUUUGUAAAAGCAACAGGAAGAAUUGCUCAGAUACCCGUGAGUGAGGCUUACUUGGGUCGUGUUGUAAAUGCUCUGGCUAAACCUAUUGAUGGGAAAGGCGAAAUUAUAGCUUCCGAAUCUCGCUUAAUUGAAUCUCCUGCUCCAAGUAUAAUUUCCAGGCGUUCCGUAUACGAACCUCUUCAAACAGGGCUUAUUGCUAUCGAUUCGAUGAUCCCUAUAGGGCGCGGUCAGCGAGAGUUAAUUAUUGGGGACAGACAGACUAGCAAAACAACAGUAGCCACAGAUACAAUUCUCAAUCAAAAAGGCCAAGGUGUAAUAUGUGUUUAUGUAGCUAUCGGUCAAAGAGCAUCCUCCGUAGCUCAAGUAGUAACUACUUUCCACGAGGAGGGGGCUAUGGAAUACACUAUUGUAGUAGCUGAAAUGGCGGAUUCACCUGCUACAUUACAAUACCUUGCUCCUUAUACGGGAGCAGCCCUGGCUGAGUAUUUUAUGUACCGCGAACGGCAUACUUUCAUAAUUUAUGAUGAUCUCUCCAAACAGGCACAAGCUUAUCGCCAAAUGUCCCUUCUAUUAAGAAGACCUCCCGGCCGUGAGGCUUAUCCAGGGGAUGUUUUUUAUUUGCAUUCACGCCUUUUAGAAAGAGCCGCUAAAUUAAAUUCCCUUUUAGGCGAAGGAAGUAUGACCGCUUUACCAAUAGUUGAGACUCAAUCUGGAGACGUUUCCGCCUAUAUUCCUACUAAUGUAAUCUCCAUUACAGAUGGACAAAUAUUCUUAUCUGCGGAUCUAUUCAAUGCCGGAAUUCGACCCGCUAUUAAUGUGGGUAUUUCUGUUUCCAGAGUAGGAUCCGCGGCUCAAAUUAAAGCCAUGAAACAAGUAGCUGGCAAAUCAAAAUUGGAACUAGCGCAAUUCGCAGAGUUACAAGCCUUUGCACAAUUCGCCUCUGCUCUCGAUAAAACAAGUCAGAAUCAAUUGGCAAGGGGUCGACGAUUAAGGGAAUUGCUUAAACAAUCCCAGGCAAAUCCUCUCCCAGUGGAAGAGCAGAUAGCUACUAUUUAUACCGGAACAAGAGGAUAUCUUGAUUCGUUAGAAAUUGAACAGGUAAAUAAAUUUCUGGAUGAGUUACGUAAACAUCUAAAAGAUACUAAACCUCAAUUCCAAGAAAUUAUAUCUUCUAGCAAGACAUUCACCAAGCAAGCGGAAAUCCUUUUGAAGGAAGCUAUUCAGGAACAGCUGGAACGGUUUUCUCUUCAGUAA
RNAcentral lists this ribosomal RNA (1515 nucleotides) under Triticum aestivum (bread wheat). RNAcentral's name for it is "partial small subunit ribosomal RNA". Lineage: Eukaryota; Viridiplantae; Streptophyta; Magnoliopsida; Poales; Poaceae. The record is from RNAcentral.